AUUGAACGCUGGCGGCAGGCUUAACACAUGCAAGUCGAACGAUGACUAACUAGCUUGCUAGUUAUGAUUAGUGGCGGACGGGUGAGUAACAUUUAGGAAUCUGCCUAGUAGUGGGGGAUAGCUCGGGGAAACUCGAAUUAAUACCGCAUACGACCUACGGGUGAAAGGGGGCGCAAGCUCUUGCUAUUAGAUGAGCCUAAAUCAGAUUAGCUAGUUGGUGGGGUAAAGGCCCACCAAGGCGACGAUCUGUAACUGGUCUGAGAGGAUGAUCAGUCACACCGGAACUGAGACACGGUCCGGACUCCUACGGGAGGCAGCAGUGGGGAAUAUUGGACAAUGGGGGAAACCCUGAUCCAGCCAUGCCGCGUGUGUGAAGAAGGCCUUUUGGUUGUAAAGCACUUUAAGCAGGGAGGAGAGGCUAAUGGUUAAUACCCAUUAGAUUAGACGUUACCUGCAGAAUAAGCACCGGCUAACUCUGUGCCAGCAGCCGCGGUAAUACAGAGGGUGCGAGCGUUAAUCGGAAUUACUGGGCGUAAAGCGAGUGUAGGUGGCUCAUUAAGUCACAUGUGAAAUCCCCGGGCUUAACCUGGGAACUGCAUGUGAUACUGGUGGUGCUAGAAUAUGUGAGAGGGAAGUAGAAUUCCAGGUGUAGCGGUGAAAUGCGUAGAGAUCUGGAGGAAUACCGAUGGCGAAGGCAGCUUCCUGGCAUAAUAUUGACACUGAGAUUCGAAAGCGUGGGUAGCAAACAGGAUUAGAUACCCUGGUAGUCCACGCCGUAAACGAUGUCUACUAGCCGUUGGGGUCCUUGAGACUUUAGUGGCGCAGUUAACGCGAUAAGUAGACCGCCUGGGGAGUACGGCCGCAAGGUUAAAACUCAAAUGAAUUGACGGGGGCCCGCACAAGCGGUGGAGCAUGUGGUUUAAUUCGAUGCAACGCGAAGGACCUUACCUGGUCUUGACAUAGUGAGAAUCCUGCAGAGAUGCGGGAGUGCCUUCGGGAAUUCACAUACAGGUGCUGCAUGGCUGUCGUCAGCUCGUGUCGUGAGAUGUUGGGUUAAGUCCCGCAACGAGCGCAACCCUUUUCCUUAUUUGCCAGCGGGUUAAGCCGGGAACUUUAAGGAUACUGCCAGUGACAAACUGGAGGAAGGCGGGGACGACGUCAAGUCAUCAUGGCCCUUACGACCAGGGCUACACACGUGCUACAAUGGUAGGUACAGAGGGUUGCUACACAGCGAUGUGAUGCUAAUCUCAAAAAGCCUAUCGUAGUCCGGAUUGGAGUCUGCAACUCGACUCCAUGAAGUCGGAAUCGCUAGUAAUCGCAGAUCAGAAUGCUGCGGUGAAUACGUUCCCGGGCCU
This 1355-nucleotide ribosomal RNA is filed under the name uncultured bacterium. Its description in RNAcentral is "bacterial SSU rRNA". It matches the Rfam family "Bacterial small subunit ribosomal RNA", at positions 28 to 1381 of the family's 1533-position model. The record is from RNAcentral.